Molecule: non-coding RNA, 73 nt
Organism: Cordylochernes scorpioides
Lineage: Eukaryota; Metazoa; Arthropoda; Arachnida; Pseudoscorpiones; Chernetidae
Source: the annotation of a GenBank genome assembly
UCAAACUUUUGUGAUACCCAGCAUCUCCACCAGUUGUCACGGUAGUAAUGACGAGUAUUACAAACGUUCGAGU